This is a non-coding RNA of Meleagris gallopavo (turkey), 412 nucleotides long. NCBI's taxonomy places the organism in Eukaryota, Metazoa, Chordata, Aves, Galliformes, Phasianidae. The record is from RefSeq and is a predicted model, not a curated record.
GAGGAAGAAGUUCUGGACAGCCAGAAGGAUGAUUAUAUUCAUUUCAUACGGAACCAGGCUGAAGACGAAACUGACUCGAGGUGCCUUACACAUCAGUUAUUGAUGCUGUGGGAGCUCAGGUCCACCCUGGGGAAAACCUGUCCUGCAGCCUCACUUCUCGUGGUGCUGCCUGUAUGUAGCCCGAGCAGCAGAGUUCCCUCACAGAGAUGUCUCCUUACUCCAGGUUGAGCAGCUGGCAGGUUUGAAAGCUGAAGCUGCCUGUUGUGUUGGAGGGAGAGCUUUCCAGUGGGAGCGUGUGAAUGGUUUGGGCAGCUGCCAGUCUGAGGAUGUGAGAUGGCUGCGGUGUUGUGAGGAGGGAGCUGGAGUGAUGGUGUGAAGGGUUGUGUUUGCUGGGAUGAUGUCUGGUGGGCAA